AUUGAACGCUGGCGGCAGGCCUAACACAUGCAAGUCGAACGGUAACAGGAAACAGCUUGCUGUUUCGCUGACGAGUGGCGGACGGGUGAGUAAUGUCUGGGAAACUGCCUGAUGGAGGGGGAUAACUACUGGAAACGGUAGCUAAUACCGCAUAACGUCGCAAGACCAAAGAGGGGGACCCUCGGGCCUCUUGCCAUCGGAUGUGCCCAGAUGGGAUUAGCUUGUUGGUGGGGUAACGGCUCACCAAGGCGACGAUCCCUAGCUGGUCUGAGAGGAUGACCAGCCACAGUGGAACUGGGACACGGUCCAGACUCCUACGGGAGGCAGCAGUGGGGAAUAGUGCACAAUGGGCGCAAGCCUGAUGCAGCCAUGCCGCGUGUAUGAAGAAGGCCUUCGGGUUGUAAAGUACUUUCAGCGGGGAGGAAGGGAGUAAAGUUAAUACCUUUGCUCAUUGACGUUACCCGCAGAAGAAGCACCGGCUAACUCCGUG
RNAcentral lists this ribosomal RNA (490 nucleotides) under uncultured bacterium. RNAcentral describes it as "partial 16S ribosomal RNA". It matches the Rfam family "Bacterial small subunit ribosomal RNA", at positions 30 to 507 of the family's 1533-position model. The record is from RNAcentral.